RNAcentral lists this ribosomal RNA (253 nucleotides) under uncultured bacterium. RNAcentral describes it as "partial 16S ribosomal RNA". It matches the Rfam family "Bacterial small subunit ribosomal RNA", at positions 524 to 776 of the family's 1533-position model. The record is from RNAcentral.
UACAGAGGUCCCAAGCGUUGUUCGGAUUUACUGGGCGUAAAGAGCGCGCAGGCGGUCGUACAAGUCGCGUGUGAAAGCCCCCGGCUCAACUGGGGAGGGUCACGCGAUACUGUUCGACUCGAAGGCAGGAGAGGGAAGUGGAAUUCCCGGUGUAGUGGUGAAAUGCGUAGAUAUCGGGAGGAACACCAGUGGCGAAGGCGGUGUUCUGGGCCUGUACUGACGCUGAUGCGCGAAAGCGUGGGGAGCGAACAGG